This 479-nucleotide ribosomal RNA is filed under the name uncultured bacterium. RNAcentral's name for it is "SSU rRNA". It matches the Rfam family "Bacterial small subunit ribosomal RNA", at positions 26 to 521 of the family's 1533-position model. The record is from RNAcentral.
AGAAUCAACGCUGGCGGCGUGCCUAACACAUGCAAGUCGAACGAGAAAGUGGAGCAAUCCAUGAGUAAAGUGGCGACCGGGUGAGUAACACGUGACUAACCUACCUUCAAGUGGGGGAUAACCUCGGGAAACCGGGGCUAAUACCGCAUAACAUCUUUGGAGUGGAAAUUCUGGAGAUCAAAGGAGCAAUUCGCUGGAAGAGGGGGUCGCGGCUGAUUAGCUAGUUGGCGGGGUAAUGGCCCACCAAGGCUUUGAUCGGUAGCCGGCCUGAGAGGGCGCACGGCCACACUGGAACUGAAACACGGUCCAGACUCCUACGGAGGCAGCAGUGGGGAAUCUUGCGCAAUGGGCGAAAGCCUGACGCAGCAACGCCGCGUGGAGGACGAAUGCUUUCUGAGUUGUAAACUCCUUUCAGCAGGGACGAUUGGUGACGGUACCUGCAGAAGAGCACCGGCCAACUACGUGCCAGCAGCCGCGGU